CUACGGGUGGCUGCAGUGGGGAAUAUUGGACAAUGGGCCACAAGCCUGAUCCAGCAAUUCUGUGUGCACGAUGAAGGUUUUCGUAUCGUAAAGUGCUUUCAGUUGGGAAGAAGAAAGUGACGGUACCAACAGAAGAAGCGACGGCUAAAUACGUGCCAGCAGCCGCGGUAAUACGUAUGUCGCAAGCGUUAUCCGGAUUUAUUGUGCGUAAAGCGCGUCUAGGCGGAAAAGAAAGUCUGAUGUUAAAAUGCGGGGCUCAACUCCGUAUUGCGUUGGAAACUGCUUUUCUAGAGUACUGGAGAGGUGGGCGGAACUACAAGUGUAGAGGUGAAAUUCGUAGAUAUUUGUAGGAAUGCCGAUGGAGAAGUCAGCUCACUGGACAGAUACUGACGCUAAAGCGCGAAAGCGUGGGGAGCAAACAGGAUUAGAUACCCCCGUAGUC
This 442-nucleotide ribosomal RNA is filed under the name uncultured bacterium. RNAcentral's name for it is "partial 16S ribosomal RNA". It matches the Rfam family "Bacterial small subunit ribosomal RNA", at positions 339 to 795 of the family's 1533-position model. The record is from RNAcentral.